This 492-nucleotide ribosomal RNA is filed under the name uncultured bacterium. RNAcentral's name for it is "partial 16S ribosomal RNA". It matches the Rfam family "Bacterial small subunit ribosomal RNA", at positions 29 to 507 of the family's 1533-position model. The record is from RNAcentral.
AGUGAACGCUGGCGGUAGGCCUAACACAUGCAAGUCGAACGGCAGCACAGUAAGAGCUUGCUCUUACGGGUGGCGAGUGGCGGACGGGUGAGGAAUACAUCGGAAUCUACUUUUUCGUGGGGGAUAACGUAGGGAAACUUACGCUAAUACCGCAUACGACCUACGGGUGAAAGCAGGGGAUCUUCGGACCUUGCGCGAUUGAAUGAGCCGAUGUCGGAUUAGCUAGUUGGCGGGGUAGAGGCCCACCAAGGCGACGAUCCGUAGCUGGUCUGAGAGGAUGAUCAGCCACACUGGAACUGAGACACGGUCCAGACUCCUACGGGAGGCAGCAGUGGGGAAUAUUGGACAAUGGGCGCAAGCCUGAUCCAGCCAUACCGCGUGGGUGAAGAAGGCCUUCGGGUUGUAAAGCCCUUUUGUUGGGAAAGAAAAGCAGCAGGUUAAUACCCCGCUGUUCUGACGGUACCCAAAGAAUAAGCACCGGCUAACUUCAUG